UAAAAAAUAUAAUUAUUACUUAAAAUGUAUUCUCUUUUUUUAUAUUGUUAAUAAUCACAAAAGCCAGGUCAUUUUUAAUAAAGUUAAAUAUAAAAUAAAAUGUAAAUAAAUGAUUAUAUAAUACAACACAAAUUUAUCAGAGUAGGACAAACUCUUCCGUGGCCGUUAAAACGGAAAAGAAAAAAGAUCAAAACGGCAGCACGACGUGAAUAUAUCAGCUAGGAGAGGUGAAAGGAAGUCUUCUUCUCCUCAAG
This 254-nucleotide long non-coding RNA is filed under the name Carica papaya (papaya). Its description in RNAcentral is "long non-coding RNA (CPAP_LNC001056)". Lineage: Eukaryota; Viridiplantae; Streptophyta; Magnoliopsida; Brassicales; Caricaceae. The record is from RNAcentral.